GACGAACGCUGGCGGCGUGCUUAACACAUGCAAGUCGAACGGUAAGGCCCUUCGGGGUACACGAGUGGCGAACGGGUGAGUAACACGUGGGUAAUCUGCCCUGCACAUCGGGAUAAGCCUGGGAAACUGGGUCUAAUACCGAAUAGGACCACAGGACACAUGUCCUGUGGCGGAAAGCUUUUGCGGUGUGGGAUGGGCCCGCGGCCUACCCGCUUGUUGGUGGGGUGAUGGCCCACCAAGGCGACGACGGGUAGCCGGCAUGAGAGGGUGUCCGACCACACUGGGACUGAGAUACGGCCCAGACUACUACCGGAGGCAGAGGUGGGGAAUAUUACUCAAUGCGCGAAAGCCUGGUGCCGCCGCGACGCGUGGGGGAUGACGGCCUUCGGGUUGUAAACCUCUUUCACCAUCGACGAAGGUCAGGGUUUUCUCGGGCUGACGGUAGGUGGAGAAGAAGAACCGGCCAACUACGUG
This 474-nucleotide ribosomal RNA is filed under the name uncultured bacterium. RNAcentral's name for it is "partial 16S ribosomal RNA". It matches the Rfam family "Bacterial small subunit ribosomal RNA", at positions 28 to 507 of the family's 1533-position model. The record is from RNAcentral.